This 605-nucleotide long non-coding RNA is filed under the name Gossypium barbadense (sea-island cotton). RNAcentral's name for it is "long non-coding RNA (GBAR_LNC007859)". Lineage: Eukaryota; Viridiplantae; Streptophyta; Magnoliopsida; Malvales; Malvaceae. The record is from RNAcentral.
GCUGAUUAGGAAGUGGUUUAAUAGAUCUAAAUAUUACUGUAAAUAAAUGGUAAAAUUAUUAAAAAUAAGCAGCCCCGUUUUGGUGGUUCUAGGAGCGGCACAUCACCACUAAUGGUGGCAAUUUGGUGUUGUUUUGAGAGCUUAAUAAAAAAGUGUCUGAAGGUUGAAAAUUUACCAUUUAAAUCAUUAAAAACCAUAAAGGUCCAGAUACGAAACAAGAGAUCUUUAAUAGAAAAUAAUUUGAUAAUAAAAUAGAAGAAAAACGUCACUUACUCGAAGGAUAGCAAAAGAGCGGUAAUGGUAAUCUUUGUGGAGCCUUUGAAGGCUUACUUUUAAAUGAUAAAAAUGGUAGCUUUGAGGAUGGAAAUUUUAAUGGAAAAAGUAGCAAAGGUGAUGAAGAAAAUUUUGUAAAAAUCCUCUAUCAACAAAGGAAAUAUGGGCAGAAGAGAGGGAACUUUAGGCAGUAGCACAAUGAGGGAGAAAGGGGAAAAAUAAAAAGGGAGAGAAGAGAUGAAGGGGAAGGGCGGCUAGGGUUGUAAAAGAAUGACUAAAGCCUGAAAAAUAAAUGAAAAAGUGAUAUUUAUUCCUAGGUUAACAAGCAUGGG